Molecule: transfer RNA, 72 nt
Filed under: Bos taurus (domestic cattle)
Lineage: Eukaryota; Metazoa; Chordata; Mammalia; Artiodactyla; Bovidae
Also listed under: 1 other name
Rfam family: tRNA
About the family: Transfer RNA (tRNA) molecules are approximately 80 nucleotides in length. Their secondary structure includes four short double-helical elements and three loops (D, anti-codon, and T loops).
Source: Rfam by way of RNAcentral
UCCCUGAUAGCUCAGUUAGUACAGAAUCUGCCUACAAUGCAGGAGACCCCGGUUUGAUUCCUGGUCAGGAAG